RNAcentral lists this long non-coding RNA (2205 nucleotides) under Equus caballus (horse). RNAcentral describes it as "lncRNA (ENSECAG00000041980.2)". Lineage: Eukaryota; Metazoa; Chordata; Mammalia; Perissodactyla; Equidae. The record is from RNAcentral.
AUUUCCUUGUCCCUGAACUGACCACUCCAGAUGAAAGAUCUUCAAGUGAGUGUAGGGAACGACUUGGAAAAGGGUGAAGUUAUACCUGCUGGAACCGGACCACUCUGACUUUUGCGGCAAAAGAGAGGGAAACACCUCAGUGACAUGUUUUAGACCCAGGGAAGUCUGAGGGAGGGAGGAAUGUUAAUGAUCUCUUUAAGAUUCACCCCAAAGCCUUGCUCAAAGAAGGAAAGCACUCUGGAGCAAUUCUCCCAAACCCUGAAGGCACAUUAAAUUUAACUGACUGCUGGGUUUUCCACCCCCUGACAGAGUUCGCUGACCAUGAUUUGAUCACCAUUCAUCUUAAUCUUACUGAGAUGCCUAUCAGAAGCAGCAGCGGAUGGCUCCCAGCCUCUGUACUUACCACACAAAACAUAUGUCAACGCCUCCAGCUGUUCUCCCAACACCGAUUCCCAUAGCCAUAACGGAGUCAGUCUGUGAGGGGGAUGAAAUCCACUUCGCCAGAGACACGGACAAACAGGUCAGUUUGGACCGCCUGAGGGCUCCCGGAAGGCCGUAGAGUACAGCAGUUUUGCGCCGGGCAUGCGCGGUGCCCUGCCCCGUUUUGGCUUCAGGCAGUCCCUCCAGCGCACAGUUUUGGGCCAGAGCCAGUCGGCAGCUCCACAUCCCGCCGCAGGGCCUCUGGAGCACAGCGCGCUGAAGCGUUAUGACUCUGACUGUGGAAGGUCCAGGAGUCCACGAGCACUGGAGAUCGCGUGAUAGAGACUGUGAGCCAACCUCCUUACUGACCAGUCUGGGAGGGGCACGGGGCGCUCAGGUGUUUCUCCUGCCAGGACUCGGCUGCCCCCGUAAAUGGCCUGAAGUCCCAGGAGAUGGGGCUUCCUGUGGGAAGUGAGGUUGUGGCUGCAAUGCUUGGGGCCUGAUUCCUCCAUUCUCUGAACCACCCCUGAUCCUCAGUGGAUCCCAGCCCAUCUUCUCCCUACUCUUCUAUGGGGACUGCACUUAAUCCAAAAUCAAGGGAUUGAUUCAUGUAUUUGAAAUGAACUAUUACCCUAGAAGUCAUGUUGGAGGCCCCAUCAACCUGUACCCUCAACUGAUAUGCGUCACACUUGAGAGGCCCUAACACUUGAAGAACUGACUUUCUUUUCAGAGUGACCACAUGCACGAUCAGGACUGUGCUUUUUGCGUGGGAGACCAGAUGCAAACCGUGCAUAGCCUUGGAAAUAUCUCCCUUCAGAUGAAAAGAUAAGCAUGCUUACUCUCUAGUAUGAUGAAGAUGAUGUCCUCCUUCGGAGAAGAGGAUGUCUGUGUCCUUUCUGGCGGGCAUCUAAGGGCUCCAGCAAUACUGAAUCGACUGCAAAUCGCACAUUGAAAACGUUUCCACCUCAGCCUCAGUUUCUGCAAAGCUGCUGCAUUUCCAGUUCACCUUCACUUCCAGCUCUCUUGGAAUAGGCUCCUGUUUGUAUCUGGUUUUGUUGAGGCCACGCGGAUGAGUUAGAUAAAAGCCUCUGCCAAACAGCUAACCAUAGACCAAGAGCCAGAGGCCAUAUUAAGAUAUGAGAAGUCCACAUCUGGAACAGCAGCUAUAGUUGGAGCCACUGCCUUAUUCAGUUUUGAAAAUCUUUAUUCUUGAAUGUUUCAAGUAGUUAUGCAGGAAUAUACAUGAUAGAUAGUAAGAGAUUCAAUGUCUCCUAUUUAUCCACCACAACCAAAAUUACUCUAAUUUUAUGCUAGAAUUUUUCUAGGAGCUGAGGAUAUCUUUUUCUGCUGUGUCUUCAAAAAUGGAGGAAAUGACAAUGUCUAGAUAAAGGAUCUUACUAUGAAAUCAAACUACAUCUGUCAUCUGAUCCCUAUCAUACAUCACUGCUUUAAGGAUGACAGUGGAUCCAGAUUUCCAAAAGAUUCAAGGAAUCUCAGAACUAAUAUUCAAUAUUCCCUAAAAAGAUUUAGUUAUUUUGCUUUGCUCAAAAGUGCGGUUACCUGAGUUAAUGACCACAGGACACUUUCAACAAGUCUGAGAACAUAUUUCAAAUAUGCUCUGUGAUUUCAUAGCAGAGAUCUUUUUCAAAGCUGCUUGUAUUUAAGGGGCUUGGUCUGUGAAGUGAGCCUGAAGAUUGUAGUUGGAAUUAGUUCAUACAGUGUCUCAAAUCAGAGCUAUCUCCACAAGAAUAUAAUUUUUUUCUUUUGUCUUUUAUUGGGGGUGGG